CAGAUUGUUGUGCUAGGAUGGGGUGGAUUACGGGUAGAGAAGAUGGAAUUCCAGGAUGAAGAUGAGCUUGUCCCCACCUUCAAGGAGCACUCAAUCUAGCUAGAGGCCAGGACUGGGUAUGGUCAGUUUAAACUGUCUUCUUUAUAGCUGCUGGUGUAAAAAAAUACAACAUUCAAUUACUUAGAUAUUUCAUUUAAAAUAACAAAUUGCUUGGUAUAUAAUUACAUAACUUUAGGGUUAUGCUUUUUUUAAAACCAUGAGUUUGGAGAAAAUUCAAGGUAGUGGAUUAAUUUUUUAUUAUUG
RNAcentral lists this long non-coding RNA (303 nucleotides) under Homo sapiens (human). RNAcentral's name for it is "non-protein coding lnc-PJVK-3:1". Lineage: Eukaryota; Metazoa; Chordata; Mammalia; Primates; Hominidae. The record is from RNAcentral.